AGUGAACGCUGGCGGUAGGCCCAACACAUGCAAGUCGAACGGCAGCACAGAGGAGCUUGCUCCUUGGGUGGCGAGUGGCGGACGGGUGAGGAAUACAUCGGAAUCUACUCUGUCGUGGGGGAUAACGUAGGGAAACUUACGCUAAUACCGCAUACGACCUACGGGUGAAAGCAGGGGACCUUCGGGCCUUGCGCGAUUGAAUGAGCCGAUGUCGGAUUAGCUAGUUGGGGGGGUAAGGACCACCAAGGCGACGAUCCGUAGCUGGUCUGAGAGGAUGAUCAGCCACACUGGAACUGAGACACGGUCCAGACUCCUACGGGAGGCAGCAGUGGGGAAUAUUGGACAAUGGGCGCAAGCCUGAUCCAGCCAUACCGCGUGGGUGAAGAAGGCCUUCGGGUUGUAAAGCCCUUUUGUUGGGAAAGAAAUCCAGCUGGCUAAUACCCGGUUGGGAUGACGGUACCCAAAGAAUAAGCACCGGCUAACUUCGUGCCAGCCGCCGCAGUAA
This 505-nucleotide ribosomal RNA is filed under the name uncultured bacterium. RNAcentral's name for it is "partial 16S ribosomal RNA". It matches the Rfam family "Bacterial small subunit ribosomal RNA", at positions 29 to 523 of the family's 1533-position model. The record is from RNAcentral.